RNAcentral lists this ribosomal RNA (266 nucleotides) under uncultured prokaryote. Its description in RNAcentral is "partial 16S ribosomal RNA". It matches the Rfam family "Bacterial small subunit ribosomal RNA", at positions 524 to 789 of the family's 1533-position model. The record is from RNAcentral.
UACGGAGGAUCCGAGCGUUAUCCGGAUUUAUUAGGUUUAAAGGGUGCGCAGGCGGGAGAUUAAGUCGGCGGUGAAAUUUUGCAGCUCAACUGUAAAAGUGCCUUCGAAACUGGUUUCCUUGAGUGUGGAUGAAGUAGGCGGAAUUUGUGGUGUAGCGGUGAAAUGCAUAGAUAUCACGAGGAACUCCGAUUGCGCAGGCAGCUUACUAAACCAUAACUGACGCUCAGGCACGAAGGCGUGGGGAUCAAACAGGAUUAGAUACCCGU